GUGACAACAAAAAGAGAGGGAACCAUCAAACCAAUCUAUAAGUAAUUUUUAAGCACCUACCGCAUGCCAGAAACUGUGCUAAAGGUUGGGUUUACAAAGACAAAAGCAAAACGCUGUUUGCUCUCAAGAAGCUCACUUUUUGUUGGGAGAGAGAUGCACAGAACGAGCCUUCUCCAGAGUGAAGAAUUGUGUUAAUGAAUUCACACCCAAUAGCACCACAAAGCUGGCCUUUGGUCUUCUGAGCACUGCCUGGGAGGCUGGAAGUCACAGAGUCCCUUGGCCUCCAGGAGAGGACUCUCCAUUGUCCUGCAUUCAGGUCAUUAUUUCAGAGCUGGAGGGAACUGAGGUGUCAGCGGAGCUAAGCUUCCUGUCUACAGAAGGAGAGAUUGGUGCCCAGUCUGAA
Molecule: non-coding RNA, 403 nt
Organism: Phascolarctos cinereus (koala)
Lineage: Eukaryota; Metazoa; Chordata; Mammalia; Diprotodontia; Phascolarctidae
Source: RefSeq, a predicted model, not a curated record